Molecule: non-coding RNA, 148 nt
Filed under: Nomascus leucogenys (northern white-cheeked gibbon)
Lineage: Eukaryota; Metazoa; Chordata; Mammalia; Primates; Hylobatidae
Source: Rfam by way of RNAcentral
GCCGGGCAUGGUGGCCCAUGCCUGUAAUCCCAGCUACUCAGGAGGCUGAGACAGGAGAAUCGCUUGAACUCAGGAGGCGGAGGUUGCAGUGAGCCAACAUUGCGCCAUCGCACUCCAGCCUGGGUGACAGAGCGAGACUCCGUCUCAC